GUGGUGAUAAGGUGACAAAAGGAGUAACCCACGGGCAUUCGAUUGCUCACUGGUUAUGCUCCUGGGAAGGUCUGAGAUUAGGUCCCGGCCAAGUUUGGUUGGUCGUAUCCUCUAGCAGGGGAACGAUGUAAACCGUCGUAGUGCCGUACCAGAAACCCCCUCGGUACCAAUCACCCUGAAGUACAAGACGGUUUACCUCAGUGUUUGGAGGGAAGCCUGAUACGAUUGUGGUGAUGGUAUUGAGUUUGAACCACGGUGCUGGUGCUAGCUGCGCUGAGUGCGAUUGUCUCCGCAUAUGUGUGAACUCAAUUCAGACUACUCUCUCGCCAC
Molecule: RNase P RNA, 330 nt
Filed under: Loa loa (African eye worm)
Lineage: Eukaryota; Metazoa; Nematoda; Chromadorea; Rhabditida; Onchocercidae
Description: Nuclear RNase P
Rfam family: Nuclear RNase P
About the family: Ribonuclease P (RNase P) is a ubiquitous endoribonuclease, found in archaea, bacteria and eukarya as well as chloroplasts and mitochondria. Its best characterised activity is the generation of mature 5'-ends of tRNAs by cleaving the 5'-leader elements of precursor-tRNAs.
Source: Rfam by way of RNAcentral